RNAcentral lists this ribosomal RNA (515 nucleotides) under uncultured bacterium. RNAcentral's name for it is "partial 16S ribosomal RNA". It matches the Rfam family "Bacterial small subunit ribosomal RNA", at positions 28 to 523 of the family's 1533-position model. The record is from RNAcentral.
GAUGAACGCUGGCGGCGUGCCUAAUACAUGUAAGUCGAGCGAAUGGAUUAAGAGCUUGCUCUUAUGAAGUUAGCGGCGGACGGGUGAGUAACACGUGGGUAACCUGCCCAUAAGACUGGGAUAACUCCGGGAAACAGGGGCUAAUACCGGAUAACAUUUUGAACCGCAUGGUUCGAAAUUGAAAGGCGGCUUCGGCUGUCACUUAUGGAUGGACCCGCGUCGCAUUAGCUAGUUGUUGAGGUAACGGCUCAACAAGGCAACGAUGCGUAGCCGAACUGAGAGGGUGAUCGGCCACACUGGGACUGAGACACGGCCCAGACUCCUACGGGAGGCAGCAGUAGGGAAUCUUCCGCAAUGGACGAAAGUCUGACGGAGCAACGCCGCGUGAGUGAUGAAGGCUUUCGGGUCGUAAAACUCUGUUGUUAGGGAAGAACAAGUGCUAGUUGAAUAAGCUGGCACCUUGACGGUACCUAACCAGAAAGCCACGGCUAACUACGUGCCAGCAGCCGCCGUAA